UUUUAUGGCUGAAUAGUAUUCCAUUGUAUAAAUAUGCCACUUCUUCUUUAUCCAGUCAUCUGCUGAUGGGCACUUAUGUUGCUUCUGUAUCUUGGCAACUGUAAGUAAUGCUGCUAUGAGUGCAUAUAUGUUUUCAAAUUGAUGUUUUCAUUUUCUUUGAAUAUAUCCACAGGAGUGAAUGGCUGGAUCAUAUGGUAGUUCUAUUUUUAGUUUUUUGAGGAAACUCCAUACAGCUCCACAGUGGCUGCAGCAAUUUACAUUCCCAUUAACAGUGUACAAGUGUUCCCUUUUCUCCACAUCCUUGCCAACAUUUGUUGUUUGUGGUCUUUUUGAUGAUAGCCAUGCUGACAGGUGUGAGAUGAUAUCUCAUUGUGGUUUUGAUUUGGAUUUCUCAGUGAUGAUUAAUGAUGUUGAGCAUCUUUUAAUGUGCUUGUUGGCCAUCUGUAUGUUUUCUUUGGAAAAAUGUCUAUUCAGAUCUUCUGCCCAUUUCUUAAUUGAGAUGUUUGUUUUUUUGAUAUUGAGUUGUAUGAGCUAUUUAUGUAUUUUGAAUAUUAACCUCUGAUCAGUCAUGUUAUUUGCAGAUACUUUCUCCUAUUCAUUAGGUUGUCCUUUCAUUUUUUGCUGUUCAGAGCUCUUAAGUUUAAUUAGGUCCCAUUUAUUUAUUCUUGCUUUUGUUUCCUUUGCAGCUUAGGAGAUUGAUCCAAAAAAAUUGCUACGAUUUAUGUCAGUGUUUUGCCUACAUUUUCUUCUAAGAGUUUUAUGGUUUCCAGUCUUACAUUUAGGUCUUUUAUCCAUUUUGAGUUUAUUUUUAUAUAUGGUGUCAGAAAAUAUUCUAAUUUCAUUCUUUUACAUGUAGCUGUCCAGUUUUCCCAGUACCAUGUAUUGAAGAGACUGUCUUCUCCAUUGUAUAUUCUUGCCUUCUUAUUUCUUGGCUCUCUAUUUUGUUCCAUUGAUCUAUGUGUCUGUUUUUGUGCCAGUACCAUACUGUUUGAUUACUGUCGCUUUGUAGUAUAAUCUUAAGUCAAGAAGUGUGAUACCUCCACCUCUGUUCUUUUAUUUCUAAUUUUUUUGAAGAAUCACCAUAUUGUUUUCUGUACUAGUUGGACCAAUUUACAUUCCUACUAACAAUGUAUAUAUGUUCCCUUUUCAUCACAUCCUCAUCAGCAUCUAUAUUCUCUUCUUGAUAAUAGCCAUUUUAACAGGUGUGAAUUGAUAUCUCAUUGUGGUUUUGAUUUGCAUUUCUCUGAUGAUUAGUAAGGUUGAGCACUUUUUCAUAUGUCUGUUGGUCAUUCUGAUGUCCUCUUUGGAAAAAUGUAUUUUCAGAUCAUUUGUUUUUCUUUGUUACUAAGUUGACUGAGUUUUUUUCCUAUAUUUCCUAUAUUUUCCUAUACUUAUUUCCUAUAAGUAACCUCUUAUCUGAUACAUGGUUUGCAAAAGUUCUCUCCCAUUCUAUAGAUUUUUCAUUUUGUUAAUUGCUUCUUUUGCUAUGCAGAAACUUUUGAUAGUUCUAGUUGUUGAUUUUUGUUUUUUUUGUUUGUGCUUUUGACAUCAUGUUAAAAAACAUUGCCAAGACCAACAUUGAUGAGAUUGUUCUCUGUUUUCUUCUAGGAGUUUUAUCAGGUCUUAUGUUUAAGUCUUUAAUCCAUUUGGGGUUAAUUUUUGUGAGUAGUGUGAGACAGGGGUCCAAUUUCAUUGUUCUGCAUGUGUUUCUCCACUUUUCCCAGAAAUAUUAUUUGAAGAAACUGUCCUUUCCCCAUUUGGUAUCCUUGGCUCACAUGUCAGUUAUCAGUUGACCAUAUAUGCAGGGAUUUGAUUCUGGGCUAUUUUGUUCCACUGGUCAAUGUGUCUGUUUUUGUACCAGUACCAUACUGUUUUUAUUACUAUGGCUUUGUAGUAUAAUUUGAAACCUGGAGAUGUGAUACCUCUCACUUUGUUCUUUUUUCUCAGGAUUGCUUUGGCUAUUCAGAGCCUUUUGUGGUUCCAUACAAAUUUUUGGAUUGUUUCUUCUAUUUUUGUAAAGAAUGCCUUUGGUAUUUUGAUGCCAGUUAUAGUGAAUGUGUAGAUAGCUUUGAGUACUAUGGCCAUUUUAACAAUAUUAAUUCUUCCAAUCCAUGAACACAGGAUGUUUUUCCAUUUGUUUGUGUCUGUUUCAAUUUCUUUGAACAAAGACUUGGAGUUUUCAUUGUACAGAUCUUUCACUUGGUUAAAUUUAUUUCUAUAUAUUUUAUUGUAGAACUGCUUUCAAAACAACAGUAACAACAGAACAAGAGCAUAGCAAUAUUUCAUAUAUGCCUUUUAAAAUUUCCAUUUGAUGAGAGCAGAGGCAUGAGUUAAGACAUAGUUCUAUAUGGGAAUAUUGUUUGGAAAGCAUGUAAAACAUUUUGCAGGACUGUACAGGUGACUAAAGGUGGGGUGUAGCAAUCUGAAGUUACAGUCAAGACCAGGCUGUGUGUGUGAACUGUAUGUGCAGAGAACUUGCUAGGGUCAGGUACUGUAAUAGCAGUUUUGGAACUGAGCAGAACCCUGUGCACCGCCCCCACCCCAGGAGGUACAAAGACCCCUAUGUCCCCUGACUCUUACUUGUAGAAAAGCUGAAAUCGCUCAGGCUUCCCUGUGUCACAAAGGAGCAGGUUUAAGCAGUUAAUGAUCAGGACAAGAGUCACAGACUCACUGUCUGAUGCACAUUCCCGAGUUGUUUUACAGACACUGUAACAGCCACCAGAGGGAAAGGCUAACUGUAUGAUGGCCAGAUGGUAGCCAUAAGCUGCUCCAUCUUCAGCAGGACUGAAUCUACGGCCAGCACAAUUCCAAGGACUGGCCUUAAGAGAAUGAGAUUAACACUACUGCUCAUAAUAAUCUGUAUCUCUGUGGCCAUCCAAAUAAUUGUAGCUUGUUCUGCCCAUAUAUGUAAGCCAGCAACUAAACCUGUCAGCAAAGAGAUGCUUCAAACCCAAGUUGGUAUCUUUCACCUAAGACCUCGAUGCCCUUUCUCAGCAUGAAGCAGUUACAGAAGACAGAGCUUCCUCCCUAAUCCCAUACAAGUGUAAUGGUAUCUGACAGGAGUGGUUGGUAAGCAGCUCUUUGCAGGGCACCACCCUUAACAGUAAACCCCUUUUGCCUUGUCACUUUAGCAAAGGUAUACAUUACCUAACUUUGACAUCAGGCACCCCCAUGCUCCACUCAUCUCCAACCCUAGCACACCUUUCACAUCUUUUGACCACAUGAUACCUUGCCUAACCUGUUGGUUCUUUCCAUAGAUCAAAGACGCAGAAAUGGAGAAUAAGCACUUAACAGAUGACCAGGUCUCUUCCCUAGCCUCCCCUCAGUCAUCUUGCAAACAGGCUGUGAACAAGAUAGCACCUACAGAAAGGUCAUGAGUCCACACGCCUGCAUGUGGUGGAAGACAGCUACAAGUAUGCUCCCUCACCUCAGUGGUUAACUGAGAUUACCUCCCCUUUUUUCUUUAAAAUAAUUUUUGAAGUUGGUUUUUGAGGAACAUGAUUCUGCCUUCUCUCCAGAUUGCCAGCUUUAUGAUUAAAAGCAACUUUUCUUCCUAUCAACACUUGCCCCUUUGGUACUGCUUCUUGAGCAGCAAGCAGCCAGACCUGAGUUUGGUAAGUUUUGUAGCUCAUUUUUUAAGUUAAGUGAAAAAUAUAUCAGAAUUAUGGUAGCAUCUGACAGGUAUGACUAAGCUGGAGAGGGGAGCAGACUUUUGUGGGCACUAAUCCUGGGAAAAGAGUAUGAGGUGGCUGUGUAAGUGUCCAUGGAGAGGGUCUCUCUUCCACCCCACAAGACCACAGGAGCAUGUAUUCCCUCUAGUACCCAAAGAGAUGAAGUGGAAACUAGGGUCUCUGAGCUACCAGGAGGUAAAUGAAGCAAAACCUGCUGUGGGGAGCCCUCAGCAGGAGCAAAGGGGCGACCAGAAGAGACCAGAAAUCCAGAAUCAGUAUCGUCACAGGAUGACACAGGGAAGGCGGCUAUUGGUGAUCUUUCCUAGGGGUUCACCAUCACUGGCGCAUUGCUGGCCUUAAUGAGCUAAAGCGCAGAGAUGGGAAAGGGGAUGAUGCAUUCAUUGUAGGGGCAGAGUGAACCAGGGGUCUUCCCAGCAUUGCAGGUACUCAGAUCUUUCUCAUUAGGGAAGCCAUUCUCCAGCUUGAAGAAUGCCAGAUGUCCAUUGAUUUCCAAGGCCCCUGUGCUGCUGAGUCGUGACACCAUCUCCAUGCCAGGAUACUGCUCCUUCACAGCACUCGCCACCUCCAGGUCUUGAAUGGGCUAAUAAUUUGCACAGCUGAGAAAUCAGAUGACUUUUUUCCCAGUUGAAGUCCAUAUAUGUGUGAAGUGAUCCAGGUGGAAGGGAUAAGGAGAGAAAAAAAAGUUAAAUCUGAAAAUGAAAGAGAUAAACAAGAAACCCUGCUUAUGAGAAGAUCCCAGGUAUGAAAAAUCACAUUUGUGAAGGCAUUGAGGAAUCUAAAAUAUUAAAAGGAGGCUAAGAAAGUGCUCAUAUGAUGUGAACACUGGUAAAGGAUUGAACAGUUCUGAAAAGUGUAAACACAACUGACUAGUAUUUUUACAAACAUCAGGGUCUUUGUUAGUAAACACUGUAAUUCUUCUCCCACUCAAUCGGCAAUAACCAGUGCAGUUAAAUGGACACUGCUGUUCACUGCCAGGAGGGAAGAGCCUAUCUGAGCAGUCUUUGGGAAGACAACUUAGAGGUGGUGGUGAAAAUUCCCUGGUCCUAGAAUGAGUCAAAAGCAAAGCAGUUGCUUUUCACCUGUCACUGAGAACUUGCACAGGCCUCAAGAGAAAACUUAAGUGUUCAGGUAAUGAAAAGAAUAAAAUACUUUCCGAGUCCCAGACAGGGAUAGAGGUUCACCCACAUAACCUUCCACACUUAUAUGCACAGCUUUCGAUUUGAUGUCUCAGGAUGGAGUCACAUGUGUCUGCGAGCUUCACUGACCUCUUUG
This is a long non-coding RNA of Camelus dromedarius (Arabian camel), 4964 nucleotides long. RefSeq lists it as uncharacterized. Lineage: Eukaryota; Metazoa; Chordata; Mammalia; Artiodactyla; Camelidae. The transcript is spliced from 3 exons. The record is from RefSeq and is a predicted model, not a curated record.